RNAcentral lists this ribosomal RNA (1625 nucleotides) under human gut metagenome. RNAcentral describes it as "bacterial LSU rRNA". It matches the Rfam family "Bacterial large subunit ribosomal RNA", at positions 603 to 2209 of the family's 2925-position model. The record is from RNAcentral.
GCCUAUUGAAGAAUGAACCAACGAGUUAUCUGCACUAGCGAGGUUAAGUGGAAGACACGGAGCCGCAGCGAAAGCGAGUCUUAAGAGGGCGCUAGUUAGUGUAGGUAGACCCGAAACCGCAGUGAUCUACCCAUGUCCAGGUUGAAGCGCAGGUAAAAUUGCGUGGAGGACCGAACCGGUGAGCGUUGAAAAGCUUUCGGAUGAGAUGUGGGUAGGGGUGAAAUUCCAAUCGAACGCGGAGAUAGCUGGUUCUCCCCGAAAUAGCUUUAGGGCUAGCCUGAGGUAGUAAGUAUAGGCGGUAGAGCACUGAUCGGGCUAGGGGCCGUAAAGGUUACCGAACCCUGUCAAACUCCGAAUGGAUAUACUGUAGAGCCUUGGAGUCAGACUACGAGUGAUAAGAUCCGUGGUCAAAAGGGAAACAGCCCAGACCACCAGCUAAGGUCCCCAAUGUCGUACUAAGUGGAAAAGGAUGUGGGGUUUCAUAAACAACCAGGAUGUUGGCUCAGAAGCAGCCACCAUUUAAAGAGUGCGUAAUAGCUCACUGGUCGAGAGACCCUGCGCCGAAGAUUCCCGGGGCUAAAGUACGAAACCGAAGCUGUGGCUGUAUACGUAAAGUAUACGGGGUAGGGGAGCGUUCCCAUAGGGUAGAAGUCGAACUGGAAGGUUCGGUGGACUUGUGGGAAGUGAGAAUGUUGGUAUGAGUAGCGAAAAGAAAGGUGAGAAUCCUUUCCACCGAAAGCAUAAGGAUUCCUGAGCAACGAUCGUCGUCUCAGGGUAAGUCGGGACCUAAUCCGAGGCAGAGAGCGUAGGAGAUGGACAACUGGUUGAUAUUCCAGUACCGGUAGUAAUUGUUUGAGCAAUGGAGUGACACAGAAGGGCAGGCAAGCAUGCGAAUGGAAGAGCAUGUGUAAGCGUGUAGGGUGGUGCAUAGGCAAAUCCGUGCACUGAAAGCCUGAGGCGUGAUGCGGAGUGAGCAGAGAUGCGAGCGAAGUUGUUGACCCCACACUGUCGAGAAAAGCUUCUAGUGAGAGAGCUACCGCCCGUACCGUAAACCGACACAGGUAUGCGGGGAGAGAAUCCUAAGGUGCGCGGGAGAACCCUCGUUAAGGAACUCGGCAAAAUGUACCCGUAACUUCGGGAUAAGGGUAGCCACUGUUGUGAAGUCCCAUGCGGAUGGAGCAUAGAGUGGUCGCAGAGAAGAGGCCCAAGCGACUGUUUACCAUAAACACAGGUGCCUGCUAAAGCGAAAGCUGACGUAUAGGUGCUGACACCUGCCCAGUGCCGGAAGGUUAAGGAAGGAUGUUCGGAGUAAUCCAAAGCAUUCGACUGAAGCCCCGGUGAACGGCGGCCGUAACUAUAACGGUCCUAAGGUAGCGAAAUUCCUUGUCGGGUAAGUUCCGACCCGCACGAAAGGUGUAACGAUUUGGGCACUGUCUCAACGAGGGACCCGGUGAAAUUGAAAUACCUGUGAAGAUGCAGGUUACCCGCGACUGGACAGAAAGACCCCAUGGAGCUUUACUGUAACCUGACAUUGGGUUUUGAUACAUUACGUACAGGAUAGGUGGGAGGCUUGGAAAGCUGGACGCUAGUCUGGCUGGAGCCUGUCUCUUAUACACAUCUCCGAG